UACGAAGGGGGCUAGCGUUGCUCGGAAUCACUGGGCGUAAAGCGCACGUAGGCGGAUUGUUAAGUCGGGGGUGAAAUCCUGGAGCUCAACUCCAGAACUACCUUCGAUACUGGCGAUCUUGAGUCCGGGAGAGGUGAGUGGAACUCCGAGUAUAGAGGUGAAAUUCGUAGAUAUUCGGAAGAACACCAGUGGCGAAGGCGGCUCACUGGCCCGGUACUGACGCUGAGGUGCGAAAGCGUGGGGAGCAAACAGG
RNAcentral lists this ribosomal RNA (253 nucleotides) under uncultured bacterium. RNAcentral's name for it is "partial 16S ribosomal RNA". It matches the Rfam family "Bacterial small subunit ribosomal RNA", at positions 524 to 776 of the family's 1533-position model. The record is from RNAcentral.